Molecule: ribosomal RNA, 468 nt
Filed under: uncultured bacterium
Lineage: Bacteria
Description: partial 16S ribosomal RNA
Rfam family: Bacterial small subunit ribosomal RNA
Source: RNAcentral
GAUGAACGCUGGCGGCGUGCUUAACACAUGCAAGUCGAACGGACAGGCCCUGCUUUUGUGGGGUGCUCGUGUGGCGAACGGGUGUGUAACACGUGUGUAACCCCCCCUUGUCUUUGGGAUAACUUCAGGAAACUGGGGAUAAUACCGGAUAGGAGCUUCUGCCGCAUGGUGGGGGUUGGAAAGUUUCGGCGGUUGGGGAUGGACUCGCGGCUUCCGAGCUUGUUUGUGGGGUUGUGGCUUACCAAGGCUUUGACGGGUAGCCGGCCUGAGAGGGUGACCGGCCACACUGGGACUGAGAUACGGCCCAGACUCCUACGGGAGGCAGCAGUGGGGAAUAUUGCACAAUGGGCGGAAGCCUGAUGCAGCGACGCCGCGUGCGGGAUGACGGCCUUCGGGUUGUAAACCGCUUUCGCCUGGGAAGAAGCGAGAGUGACGGUAAUGGGUAAAGAAGCACCGGCUAACUACGUG